Molecule: ribosomal RNA, 465 nt
Filed under: uncultured bacterium
Lineage: Bacteria
Description: partial 16S ribosomal RNA
Rfam family: Bacterial small subunit ribosomal RNA
Source: RNAcentral
GACGAACGCUGGCGGCGUGCUUAACACAUGCAAGUCGUACGGUAAGGCCCUUUCGGGGGUACACGAGUGGCGAACGGGUGAGUAACACGUGAGUAACCUGCCCACAACUUUGGGAUAACGCUAGGAAACUGGUGCUAAUACUGGAUAUGCGCUCCUGCUGCAUGGUGGGGGUUGGAAAGCUCCGGCGGUUGUGGAUGGACUCGCGGCCUAUCAGCUUGUUGGUGGGGUAGUGGCCUACCAAGGCGGCGACGGGUAGCCGGCCUGAGAGGGUGACCGGCCACAUUGGGACUGAGAUACGGCCCAGACGCCGACGGGAGGCAGCAGUGGGGAAUAUUGCACAAUGGGCGCAAGCCUGAUGCAGCAACGCCGCGUGCGGGAUGACGGCCUUCGGGUUGUAAACCGCUUUCAGCAGGGACGAAGCUUUUUGUGACGGUACCUGCAGAAGAAGCACCGGCUAACUACGUG